Molecule: ribosomal RNA, 372 nt
Filed under: Staphylococcus aureus
Lineage: Bacteria; Bacillati; Bacillota; Bacilli; Caryophanales; Staphylococcaceae
Description: bacterial SSU rRNA
Rfam family: Bacterial small subunit ribosomal RNA
Source: RNAcentral
GACAAAGUGACAGGUGGUGCAUGGUUGUCGUCAGCUCGUGUCGUGAGAUGUUGGGUUAAGUCCCGCAACGAGCGCAACCCUUAAGCUUAGUUGCCAUCAUUAAGUUGGGCACUCUAAGUUGACUGCCGGUGACAAACCGGAGGAAGGUGGGGAUGACGUCAAAUCAUCAUGCCCCUUAUGAUUUGGGCUACACACGUGCUACAAUGGACAAUACAAAGGGCAGCGAAACCGCGAGGUCAAGCAAAUCCCAUAAAGUUGUUCUCAGUUCGGAUUGUAGUCUGCAACUCGACUACAUGAAGCUGGAAUCGCUAGUAAUCGUAGAUCAGCAUGCUACGGUGAAUACGUUCCCGGGUCUUGUACACACCGCCCGUC